Long non-coding RNA from Miniopterus natalensis, 987 nucleotides. RefSeq lists it as uncharacterized. Lineage: Eukaryota; Metazoa; Chordata; Mammalia; Chiroptera; Miniopteridae. The record is from RefSeq and is a predicted model, not a curated record.
GUUUCUGCUCGCUGGUGCUGACAAAUGACAAACAAAAGCGAUGCUCACGUCGGGGUGCCCCGGGGCACCUCGCGGGGUGCCCGGGAGCCAGUGGCCGGACCCCAGAGUCACCCAGUGUUAGACUGCGACCUACGUGGUUAUCUACAAAGUGAGGUUUCAAACACUCUUGUCAUAUUGGGAAUUGGGUUACACGAUUAUGGAGGCUAAGAAGUCCCGUGAUGUACUGUCUGAAAGCUGGAGGAUCUGUGGAGCAGAUGGUGUAAAUCCCAGUGCAAGGGCCCAAGAAUACAGAUGUCCCUCCUCAGUCAACCAGCUUCCAGAUGCUGCUGCUGAGUUUCAGACAACACUCUCACCAGUGAGACUGGAGACUCGAAAACAGUGGUUCUCAAACUAGAGUGACUGGGGCCUCCCAGGGACAUUUGGCAAGGUAUGGAGAUAUUGUUACAACUGGGGCAGCGCUACUGGGUUGAGGCCAGGAAUGUUGAACUUCUUUCCACACACAGACAGUCCCUGAUAACAAUUAUGUAGCCCCAAAUGUCAAGACUGAGAACCCUGCACUAGAAGAAUCUUGAGUAUUAUAAAUACCCAGUGGGUGUCUCCUAUGAAGCUAACAGUGACUGUUCCCUAGGAAAAGACUUUUCAGUUUGCUCCCAGUUCCCUUCCCUUUUCAUUGCCAGUUUCCUGCGACUGAAGGGGUUUUUAUAGCAGAAAGAAUUUUCUUUCAAAAGUCUACCAGCCUUCAGGUCAUAUCCCCUUCCAAUUUACGAAAUGAAAAUUUGAAUAGAAUUUUUCAUGACAUUGAAAUGAUUUUAAAGGUCCCAUAAUGGUGGAAAAUGAAUACAAAAAUUAAGGCAGCGAGUUUACAGGCUGGAAACACGAUCUUAUAUGACUUCUGUAUUAUUUGUAUUUAGGCUAGUGCAGCAAUUUUCAACCGUUUUUAUUUCAUGGCACACAUAAACUAAUUACUAAAAUUCUGUGGCACACAAA